Molecule: unclassified non-coding RNA, 401 nt
Filed under: Hevea brasiliensis (rubber tree)
Lineage: Eukaryota; Viridiplantae; Streptophyta; Magnoliopsida; Malpighiales; Euphorbiaceae
Source: RNAcentral
CAUUGGAUCAAUGUCAGUAUCACUGUCAACAUUGCUUCCCUCAUCUGGUCGAAUAAACAUCUCAGUAUCCACAUAACUAUGUCCAUCAGCAUCUACAUCAGAGUCCCCUCCAUAUGCACUAAAAGAAAUGGCAUCACUCUCACCAUGAUAAACCCUUGACCAACUGACACUGGGAGUUGUUUCACUCUCACCAUAAAGCGAAUCCAAAUUAUCAAAACCCUCACUUUCAGUGUCCGAGAGAACCCGCCGCCAUCUUCUAGAACCAGUUGGUGUUGUAUGGGAGCUUGUGUGCUGCAAUAGUCUAACAGAAGUAUCUCCAUCUACAGAUGGAUUAUCAUGACCAGACGCAAUGGACUGGUUUUGCCUCGCCUGAUUAAUCAUAUGUGAUAACUGUUGUGAAA